GGCGUUGGAUUAAGCGUAACUGUUCCUUCGGGAGCUUUUAUGACAAUUCAGUGUCGAAGUUAACACGUUAAACAGACCGCCUGGGUAGUACGGCCGCAAGGUUGAAACUCAAAGGAAUUGGCGGGGACCCGCACAAGCUGUGGAGCGCGUGGUUUAAUCCGACGGUAAUCGUAUAAUCUUACCAAGGUUUGACAUACUGUUGCAUUCCACUAGAAAUAGAGGAAGCUUUCGAAGGUGCAGUACAGGUGCUGCAUGGCCGUCGU
RNAcentral lists this ribosomal RNA (263 nucleotides) under uncultured bacterium. RNAcentral's name for it is "partial 16S ribosomal RNA". It matches the Rfam family "Bacterial small subunit ribosomal RNA", at positions 793 to 1055 of the family's 1533-position model. The record is from RNAcentral.